RNAcentral lists this ribosomal RNA (468 nucleotides) under uncultured bacterium. Its description in RNAcentral is "partial 16S ribosomal RNA". It matches the Rfam family "Bacterial small subunit ribosomal RNA", at positions 28 to 507 of the family's 1533-position model. The record is from RNAcentral.
GACGAACGCUGGCGGCGUGCUUAACACAUGCAAGUCGAACGGAAAGGCCCUGCUUUUGUGUGGUGCUCGAGUGGCGAACGGGUGAGUAACACGUGAGUAACCUGCCCUUGACUUUGGGAUAACUUCAGGAAACUGGGGCUAAUACCGGAUAGGAGCUCCUGCUGCAUGGUGGGGGUUGGAAAGUUUCGGCGGUUGGGGAUGGACUCGCGGCUUAUCAGCUUGUUGGUGGGGUAGUGGCUUACCAAGGCUUUGACGGGUAGCCGGCCUGAGAGGGUGACCGGCCACAUUGGGACUGAGAUACGGCCCAGACUCCUACGGGAGGCAGCAGUGGGGAAUAUUGCACAAUGGGCGGAAGCCUAAUGCAGCAACGCCGCGUGCGGGAUGACGGCCUUCGGGUUGUAAACCGCUUUCGCCUGUGACGAAGCGUGAGUGACGGUAAUGGGUAAAGAAGCACCGGCUAACUACGUG